AUAGAAAUAUAAAUAUAGUAAUAAAAUAGAAAAAACAGACAAGUAUGUGUAUGUGAUGCAAAAGGUAAAAUUAAAAACAAGGCUAGAAUGUGUGAACGUUAACUUUGAGUUCUACAACUAGGAGCAAAAUGCUUUGAACAUGGACUACGGUAGUCCAUACUCGAGGGAACAGUAACAUGAUCUGUGGCUGCCGGAGCUUGGCAAGUGAAACAGUGGUGUGAGAGUUGAUGGUGGAGCGGCAAUGUGACAUUUUUGUGUUGUUACCUUACGUGUGCCGCUACGGGUCACCUUUUGUGUUUUUACGUAUGGUGUGUUUAUGGAAAUGUAUUUAAGAUAAACGUAACUCAAGCCAGGUGUUUUUGGUCAGAACAAGCAAACGGUUUGUAAACUCUGCACUGUUAUGAUAAAUGACAUUGGAUAAAGAGAAGCAAAUAAAACUGAUGAAUACAAAAACAAUCUUAACUGUACAACACAAGCAUAGCUUGAGUUGUUACAAGUUUAAUUCAUAACAGUUACAUUGCCUCAUCCCUGCCAUCAAACACUUCAGUGGCUUCAAGUGUAGACAUAGCCUCUACAGGUACUGCAACAGAGGGAGAGCAGAGUCAGGAGGGUCUUGGAAGAAGUUCAGAAAAGAUCCAAAGAGGCAGUCUGAACAGUCUUACUUGUUUGCAGGUGGAGUAAUGCACGAAUGGAUAAAAAAGAGUGAGAAGUUAUCAGCUGUUUAGGAGCAAAUGGAGAUCCGUGUCCAGGGGAGUGAGGCUAUUGCGAGUGUGAAAGGUUGUCCAGGAAGUAACUAAGAAGACAUGCACAGAGAGGUUGGAGACAAUGCAGAGAAGCCUUCAGUGGGCAAGAGGAAGACUGAUCAAUGUAACUGCAGCAGAUCAACUUCUGCGUGACUUGGCUGAAUUGAUUCAGGAGGUCGAACUGUCUACUCAGCAUGGCCAACAAGGCUGUUUUGGAUACCAGGCACCAGUGGUUUUCCACAGAGAGGUAGAUCCCUUUACCUUAUCACUCGGGAACAGCUUUCAUUCCUGAAGUCAUGUGGAUUCACUGCACCUCAGAAGGCUGAUAUUUUGAAUGUUUCACUUCGUACAAUUCGAAGACGUCUGCGACAGUAUCAUUUCACCCGUGCAUCAAUGUAUGCGGAACUGACUGACAGUGCCUUGGAUGAACAUGUGCAGGACAUUGUUGCUGGCAAUGAACAAAUUGGUCCUGAAGCUGUCAGAGCCUCCCUGCGAGUACGUGGACUACGUGUACAGCGAAGGAGGGUUCGAGCAAGCAUGUUACGGAUAAAUCCUGGAGCAGCUGCCCUUAGAGCAUUCUUGCGGAGACCAGAACGAAGAACAUAUCAGGUUGCAGGUCCAAACUCAUUGUGGCACAUUGAUAGAAAUCACAAGCUGAUAAGGUGGAGGAUAGUCGUUCAUGGGGCUAUUGAUGGAUACAGUCAUCUUGUGGUCUUCCUUCAUGCCUCAAACAACAACCAUAGCAGUACCGUUUUGUCAAGUUUCAUCAGAGCUGUGGUAUCCUAUGGUGUACCCUCGAGGGUUUGGACAGACAGAGGAGGGGAAAACAAUGCUGUCUGCCUGAUGAUGAACAUUUUCAGAGGCUUUAAUCGUGGAAAUGCCCUAAGUGGAAGGAGUACCCAUAAUCAGAGAAUUGAGAGGCUCUGGGGUGAUCUGUGGCGAGGAAUGACCAAUGUGUACUGUCACUUGGUGUUCGCUCACUCUGUGGUAGAGUAUCACUUCCUGUUCCUGCUCAAA
Haplochromis burtoni (Burton's mouthbrooder) is the source of this 1760-nucleotide long non-coding RNA. RefSeq lists it as uncharacterized. Lineage: Eukaryota; Metazoa; Chordata; Actinopteri; Cichliformes; Cichlidae. The record is from RefSeq and is a predicted model, not a curated record. The transcript is spliced from 5 exons.